GGACAUUUCUCUCUCCUCUGAUCGUUGGACUCAUUUGUGGAGUUUUACUGAUUUUUCUUCUUCUUCUGCUCGUGUGUCGUUUCAAACAGUCAAAGGAUUCAUUCUUUAUCAGGACUCAGAGCACAAAUCAGAGCUCUGCUAUGAACCACAUGAUCAAUCAGGAUGAAUCUCAACACAGCCAAAACACUUCUCCUCUCCAAGAUGACAGUGUGUUGUAUGCACAGGUCUCCCACAGUAGAUCUAAAGCCAAGAGAGACAAAGAUGACAGUGUGUUGUAUGCACAGGUCUCCCACAGUAGAUCUAAAGCCAAGAGAGACAAAGAUGACAGUGUGUUGUAUGCACAGGUCUCC
Oreochromis aureus is the source of this 350-nucleotide long non-coding RNA. RefSeq lists it as uncharacterized. The record is from RefSeq and is a predicted model, not a curated record. NCBI's taxonomy places the organism in Eukaryota, Metazoa, Chordata, Actinopteri, Cichliformes, Cichlidae. The transcript is spliced from 6 exons.